RNAcentral lists this long non-coding RNA (445 nucleotides) under Durio zibethinus. RNAcentral describes it as "long non-coding RNA (DZIB_LNC001138)". Lineage: Eukaryota; Viridiplantae; Streptophyta; Magnoliopsida; Malvales; Malvaceae. The record is from RNAcentral.
UCUUUUUUAUCUAGGUGCGAUUGGUCACCUAAGGAAUCUGUCAUUUUAGGGAACACCUAAGUUUAAGGGUCCCUAGAAGAAUAGGUUCAGGUCUGCUAACCAGAACAAGGUUCGGGAGUUCGGUUACGUGUGAGGAAGGUUAUAGCACCCUCACAACGCCCAUCAAAAGAUGGUACCAGCUUGAAUUUGUGUUAUCCAAAAGCCUUAAAAUUUUACCAAGUAAUUAAUUAUUGGAAACUUUUCUCAAUUAACUCUAAUACUUUUAGCAGAAAAUUGAGAAAAUUUCCUCACCUCAAGAGUAUGCAAGAAAAACUACUGUUUCACUUACAGAGGCUCCGUCGUCGGAUUAUUUAAAAAAACAAAAUCAAAAUUAAGAUAGAAAGGAAGGAAAGAAUGAUUUUUUUUUUUUUUUUAGGGAAAAUUGAUACUUUCAACUUUUCCCUAA